RNAcentral lists this ribosomal RNA (460 nucleotides) under uncultured bacterium. RNAcentral's name for it is "partial 16S ribosomal RNA". It matches the Rfam family "Bacterial small subunit ribosomal RNA", at positions 338 to 795 of the family's 1533-position model. The record is from RNAcentral.
CCUACGGGAGACAGCAGUGAGGAAUAUUGGUCAAUGGACGAGAGUCUGAACCAGCCAAGCAGCGUGAAGGAUGACUGCCCUAUGGGUUGUAAACUUCUUUUAUAAAGGAAUAAACCGAGGCACGAGUACCUGUUUGCAUGUAUUUUAUGAAUAAGGAUCGGCUAACUCCGUGCCAGCAGCCGCGGUAAUACGGAGGAUUCAAGCGUUAUCCGGAUUUAUUGGGUUUAAAGUGAGCGUAGAUGGGUUGUUAAGUCAGUGGUGAAAGUUUGCGGCUCAACAGUAAAAUUGCAAUUGAUACGGGCAGUCUUGAGUACAGUUGAGGUAGGCGGAAUUCGUGGUGUAGCGGGGAAAUGCUUAGAGAUCACGCAGAACCCCGAUUGCGAAGGCAGCUUACUAAACUGUGACUGACAUUGAGGCUCGAAAGUGUGGGUAUCAAACAGGAUUAGAUACCCUUGUAGUC